RNAcentral lists this ribosomal RNA (317 nucleotides) under uncultured bacterium. RNAcentral's name for it is "bacterial SSU rRNA". It matches the Rfam family "Bacterial small subunit ribosomal RNA", at positions 28 to 334 of the family's 1533-position model. The record is from RNAcentral.
GAUGAACGCGUAGCGGCAGGUUAACACAUGCAAGUCGAGGGGCGAGCGAUAAAACGAUUGCUUGCAAUGUUUGAUGGCGACCGGCGCACGGGUGCGUAACGCGUAUGCAACCUACCUGUAACAGGGGGAUAACACUGAGAAAUUGGUACUAAUACCCCGUAACAUCAUUAAGGGCAUCCUUUUUGGUUGAAAGUUCCGGCGGUUUGAGAUGGACAUGCGUUGUAUUAGCUAAUUGGUGAGGUAACGGCUCUCCAAGGCGACGAUACAUAGGGGGACUGAGAGGUUAACCCCCACAUUGGUACUGAGACACGGACCAA